Molecule: long non-coding RNA, 2015 nt
Organism: Solanum pennellii
Lineage: Eukaryota; Viridiplantae; Streptophyta; Magnoliopsida; Solanales; Solanaceae
Exons: 3
Source: RefSeq, a predicted model, not a curated record
UGUUUAGAAUAAAUGAUUUAAAGUUUCCUAAGGUUUAUAGCUUAAAAUUUUAGAUUAAUCGUUCUUUUGGGUUUUUAUGGUUUAACAGUUAAGUCUUUCUUAGGGUUUUUAGGUAUAAUGGUUUAGAUCUUAUGGUUUUUACGUAUUUUAAAUGGGUUUUAGGGUUAAUUUUAAUGUUUAUAAAAUUUAGGGUUUCUUAAGAUUAAGGAUUUAGUAUUUCUUAGGGUUUUAGGUUAUAGAUUUAGAGAUUUUGGUUAGGGUUUAGUGUCUAUGGAUUAAGAUAUUUUUAGAUUUGGGUUUUUUUAUUUAGGGUUUUAGUUUAGUUUUUAGGUUUUUGGUCUUAUGUUUUCUAGGUUAUGCUUCUUCAGGAUUUUAUAGGUUAGGGUUUAGAUUUUUUGUGUGAGUGUUUUUAGGAAUUAGCAUAUACAAUUUGUGGAUUUAUAAGGUUUAUUGCUUAAAGUUUUUUAGGUUUAUAUGUUUUGUGGGUUAAGUGUUCCGUAGGAGUUUUUAGGGUUUAGGGUUUAGUGCUUUGAGAUUUUUUCUGUUUUUAGGUUUAAGGUUUAGAGCUUAGGGUUUUUUAAUGGAGUUUAGGUUUUUCUUAGGGUUUCUUAGGGGUUUAGAUUAAGGAUUUAGGGUUUAAGGCUAGGUUUAAGUCUUAUAGCAUAGGGUUUUUUUGGGUUUAUAAGGUCUUAUGUAAGGGUAUGUCAAGGUUUUUAGGGUCUAGGGCUGUGGGUUUUCUGGGGUAAGGUUUUCAAGAUUUUUAUAUGUUUAGGAAUUCGGGGGUAUAUAGGGUUUUUAGGGUUAAGUGUUUCUUAAGGUUUAGGAAUUAGGGUUCUUUUUUUAAUUUAUGGUUUAUAGAUUUUUAGGAUUUUAGGUUUAGUGAUUAGCAUUUUAAAAUGUUUUUUUAUGGUUUAUUUUAAGGUUUAUAGGAUUUAGGGUUUCUUAAGGUUUAGGGUUUAGUGCUUCUUAGGGUAUUAGACUAUUAGGUUAGUGUUUUGUAUCUAGGACGUAGGCGUUUUUUAGUUUAGGGUUUUAGGUUAAUGGUCUUAUUUAAGUAUUUAGGGUUUAGGUACUUGGGUUUUUUGCAUAAAGAUAUUUUAGGGUUUUAUAGGUUAAGGUUGAUGGAGAUUUAUCUUUUUUUUUGUAGGGUAUAAUACAUAAUAUUUAGGGAUUUAUAAGGUUUUGAUCUUAGAGUUCUUUAUGUUUAUUGGGUUUUACGGGAUAAAUGUUUCUUUGGGAUAUUUUUUAUUUUUUAGGUUCUUGGUUUAUAGAUUAUUAGGAUUUCGGGUUUAGAACAUAGGGGUUUGAAAUGGUUUUUGGGUUUUAAUUUAAGGCUUCUAGGAUUUAUGGAUUAGAGAUUAGGGUUUUUAAUGGAUUUUACGUUUUAAUUUAAGGUUGAUAGGAUUUAUGGUUUCUUAGGGUUUAAGGUGUAAAAUUUAGGGUUUAAGGUUAGGGUUAAAGAUUUUGAAAUUAAGGUUUUUUGGCUAAAGGGUCUUAGGUUAAGGGUUUUUUUCUAGGUUGGUAGGGUUUAGGGCUUUGAGUUUUAGGUUAUGGUUUUUUAUAGUUCUAUAGGUUUAGGGUUUUGGGGUUUUUUUAGACAUUUUAAGGGUUAAGGGUUUCUUAGGGUUUAGGGCUUAGGGUUUUUGUGUUUUUGGGUUAAGGGUUUAUGGAUUUAAAGCAUUUAGGGUUUAAAGCUUACGGUUUUGUAGGGGUAUUGAGUGGUUUAUUUCUGUUUACUUUAGAGUUUUUAGGAUUUAGGAUUUCGUAACUUAUAGGGUUUAUGGUUUCUUAGGGUUUUAGGUUAAGCAUUUUGGGUUUUAUUUUAGAGUUUUUAGGAUUUAGAGUUUCGUAACUUAUAGGAUUUAGGGUUUCUUAGAGUUUUAGGUUUAGCAUUUUUGGUUUUAGGUUAGGAUUAGGGUUUAGGAUAUUUUUUGUAUACCAUGUUUGUUUAAUGGAUUUAUCUAGGUUUUUAGGGUUUAGGUGUAACAACCUGUUUAGUAGGUUCGAGAAGUAAA